Molecule: ribosomal RNA, 487 nt
Filed under: uncultured marine bacterium
Lineage: Bacteria
Description: bacterial SSU rRNA
Rfam family: Bacterial small subunit ribosomal RNA
Source: RNAcentral
AGAGUUUGAUCCUGGCUCAGAAUGAACGCUGGCGGCGUGCUUAACACAUGCAAGUCGAACGAGAAAGUUUCCUUCGGGAAACGAGUAGAGUGGCGCACGGGUGAGUAAUACGUAGAUAAUCUACCUUUGAAUUUGGGAUAGCAUCGCGAAAGUGGUGCUAAUACCGGAUAAUAUUUAUACGACCUCGGUUAUAUAAAUCAAAGAUGGCCUCUUCUUGAAAGCUAUUGUUUGGAGAUGAGUCUACGCACCAUUAGCUUGUUGGUGGGGUAAAGGCCUACCAAGGCGACGAUGGUUAGCUGGUCUGAGAGGAUGAUCAGCCACACUGGAACUGACACACGGUCCAGACUCCUACGGGAGGCAGCAGUGAGGAAUUUUGCGCAAUGGGGGAAACCCUGACGCAGCAACGCCGCGUGAGUGAUGAAGGCUCUUGGGUCGUAAAACUCUGUCAGUAGGGAAGAAAUUGUUUAUAAUUAAUACUUAUAGACAU